UCGAGGAUCUUCGUCAAUGGGGGAAACCCUGAACGAGCGAUGCCGCGUGAGCGAUGAAGGCCUUCGGGUUGUAAAGCUCAAAAGAGGUGAGAAAGGGAAACUUGAUCAAACCUCAGUAAGCUCGGGCUAAGUUCGUGCCAGCAGCCGCGGUAAGACGAACCGAGCGAACGUUGUUCGGAAUCACUGGGCUUAAAGGGCGCGUAGGCGGGUUUGCAAGUCCGUGGUGAAAUACCUCAGCUCAACUGAGGAACUGCCUCGGAUACUGCGAGUCUCGAGGGUGGUAGGGGUAUGCGGAACUAUCGGUGGAGCGGUGAAAUGCGUUGAUAUCGAUAGGAACUCCGGUGGCGAAGGCGGCAUACUGGACCACUUCUGACGCUGAGGCGCGAAAGCCAGGGGAGCAAACGGGGAUUAGAUACCCUUGUAGUCCCUGAGCGGGCUGGCAAGGCGCAU
Molecule: ribosomal RNA, 450 nt
Filed under: uncultured bacterium
Lineage: Bacteria
Description: bacterial SSU rRNA
Rfam family: Bacterial small subunit ribosomal RNA
Source: RNAcentral